This is a long non-coding RNA of Rosa rugosa (rugosa rose), 1667 nucleotides long. RefSeq lists it as uncharacterized. NCBI's taxonomy places the organism in Eukaryota, Viridiplantae, Streptophyta, Magnoliopsida, Rosales, Rosaceae. The transcript has 6 exons. The record is from RefSeq and is a predicted model, not a curated record.
CUUUUAUCUUGGUGAGUUGGAAUGUGGUUAAAGUUAUGAAUUUGGUUUCAAAGAGAUAAGAAGAACAGAAUAGGACAAGGUGGAUGAGAUUAUCAUAUAUACCUGAGGCUUAUUAGUUAUUCACAAGAAGGUAGAAAUGUUAUGGAAUCUGGAUGCUAAGUCAAGGAAUGAUAUUCUUUGUAUGAAAUAUAUCAUCUUGGUUCGAGUUGUCAUGUUCUUUUUCUUUUUCUCUUGGACCUCUGAUCUUAUAGUCUCUGUAAUAUUUAAAAGAGCUGAUAUUUCUACGAGUUUAGUAUUUGUCCUAUCAGUUUUCCUAGGAGUGGUAGAAUUGAGAUUAUACAAUAAUUUGUUUGUUUCUCUCUUGAUUCUGAAGAAGUUUUGUUUCUAUAUAUCUGAACCAUUUUGUUUACUGACAAAUGUAUAAGUGAAAUUUAGGAAAGAGAUGUUUUGGUAUAUUAGGAAGGAUUUUCUGUAGUCAUAUCUUUCACUGUGUUUACUAUUACGUUUGAUUGUGCUGGUGGUAAUUUACCACUGGAAAACAUAUUUGGCAAUUUGCAAGGUUUACUUUCAGUAUCACAACAUAUUCACUUUUGGUUUGCAAACAGUUAUCUAUAUUGUAAGUUUGGGCUGAUUAUGUAGGUAUGUUCAAGAUUAUUUGUUGAGUUCUUUUGUUUGUUUUUUUGGCUGAUGGUAGAUAGAUCUAUUCAGAUAAAUGGUUUGUUUCUCUUUGUUUUGCAGAUAUCAGGAACAGUGUGCGAUCCAAAAUUUGAAAGUGCUUUCAACUUGGAGAUGGAAGAUAAAAGAGGAAUAGAGGAAAGGGGAAGAUCUCGGCGAUAAUAGACCGGCUGGAAGUUAUUUGUGAGAAUUGGAUUUGUGGUUUUGUUCUUGAUUGUUUCGAAUCGUUUUGUGUUUUUUUUUUUUUUUUGGGUUUUUUCUUCUCAAAAUCGGUGAUCAAAAUCAACUGCAGUGAACAGUGGGUAAGAGUUUAGCUUUCUAGAAUCAAGAUCAACAUCAUACUUCUUCACUUUCUGUUCACAUAUCCAAAGUUAUUGCGUUUGAUUUUGACCAUAUGUUAUCUUUCUGAAAAUGAUUGAUCUGAAAUUCGUUUUUUGUUGUUCGCAGUCUCUUUCAAAGUGCAAACACUGAGGUCAAAAGAGGGGACGACGAAUCAAUUGGAUAAUUCUGUCGGGGGUAUUGUUCGUGCUUCAGUUUGGGAUUUGAGUGAUUGAGUGGAGGAGGUUCAAGGUUGGUUUGAUGGGCGAGGCACGGUCACUCCAAAGGGAUCUUAAUUGAAUUACUGACACUGCAAAUACUUACUCCAAAGGGUUUGAGCUAUAUUUUGACAGGCACACAGAUAGAGAGAGACUGUGAAAGGAGAGGUAUUGUUGGAGUUUGGGUAGAUUAGAGAGAAGAAGAGGGAUCUGAGUUUGGGUUGCUCGGUGGAAUUUGAAGUUUAGUGAUCCUGUUGAAAGGGGGUGUGCAAGGAGAAGAGAUUGCUCAGAAGUCAUUGGUAGAAGACUCAUCGAAGCGGCCAAAAUAAGAGCUGAAUGUUACACUGGAGGAGUAAACCAUGACUUAAGUGUGGCAAUAGCCCUUAUCCGAUGACAAAUUUUGCAUCACCUGAAGCUUUAAAACAACGGAUUAUUAUCUCAACCGAGCCACCAAAA